This 602-nucleotide ribosomal RNA is filed under the name forest soil bacterium 2S2.H1. RNAcentral describes it as "bacterial SSU rRNA". It matches the Rfam family "Bacterial small subunit ribosomal RNA", at positions 62 to 645 of the family's 1533-position model. The record is from RNAcentral.
UCGAGCGAAUGACGAAGAAGCUUGCUUCUUCUGAUUUAGCGGCGGACGGGUGAGUAACACGUGGGCAACCUGCCCUGUAGAUUGGGAUAACUCCGGGAAACCGGGGCUAAUACCAAAUAAUCCAUUUCCUCACAUGUGGAAAUGUUAAAAGACGGUUUCGGCUGUCACUACAGGAUGGGCCCGCGGCGCAUUAGCUAGUUGGUAGGGUAACGGCCUACCAAGGCGACGAUGCGUAGCCGACCUGAGAGGGUGAUCGGCCACACUGGGACUGAGACACGGCCCAGACUCCUACGGGAGGCAGCAGUAGGGAAUCUUCCACAAUGGACGAAAGUCUGAUGGAGCAAUGCCGCGUGAGUGAAGAAGGUUUUCGGAUCGUAAAACUCUGUUGUAAGGGAAGAACAAGUACGAGAGUAACUGCUCGUACCUUGACGGUACCUUAUUAGAAAGCCACGGCUAACUACGUGCCAGCAGCCGCGGUAAUACGUAGGUGGCAAGCGUUGUCCGGAAUUAUUGGGCGUAAAGCGCGCGCAGGCGGUCCUUUAAGUCUGAUGUGAAAUCCCACGGCUCAACCGUGGAAGGUCAUUGGAAACUGGGGGACUUGA